This 923-nucleotide ribosomal RNA is filed under the name Heyndrickxia coagulans. Its description in RNAcentral is "bacterial SSU rRNA". It matches the Rfam family "Bacterial small subunit ribosomal RNA", at positions 35 to 939 of the family's 1533-position model. Lineage: Bacteria; Bacillati; Bacillota; Bacilli; Caryophanales; Bacillaceae. The record is from RNAcentral.
GUAAGCUGCAGGUGCUAUAAUGCAGUCGUGCGGACCUUUUAAAAGCUUGCUUUUAAAAGGUUAGCGGCGGACGGGUGAGUAACACGUGGGCAACCUGCCUGUAAGAUCGGGAUAACGCCGGGAAACCGGGGCUAAUACCGGAUAGUUUUUUCCUCCGCAUGGAGGAAAAAGGAAAGACGGCUUCGGCUGUCACUUACAGAUGGGCCCGCGGCGCAUUAGCUAGUUGGUGGGGUAACGGCUCACCAAGGCAACGAUGCGUAGCCGACCUGAGAGGGUGAUCGGCCACAUUGGGACUGAGACACGGCCCAAACUCCUACGGGAGGCAGCAGUAGGGAAUCUUCCGCAAUGGACGAAAGUCUGACGGAGCAACGCCGCGUGAGUGAAGAAGGCCUUCGGGUCGUAAAACUCUGUUGCCGGGGAAGAACAAGUGCCGUUCGAACAGGGCGGCGCCUUGACGGUACCCGGCCAGAAAGCCACGGCUAACUACGUGCCAGCAGCCGCGGUAAUACGUAGGUGGCAAGCGUUGUCCGGAAUUAUUGGGCGUAAAGCGCGCGCAGGCGGCUUCUUAAGUCUGAUGUGAAAUCUUGCGGCUCAACCGCAAGCGGUCAUUGGAAACUGGGAGGCUUGAGUGCAGAAGAGGAGAGUGGAAUUCCACGUGUAGCGGUGAAAUGCGUAGAGAUGUGGAGGAACACCAGUGGCGAAGGCGGCUCUCUGGUCUGUAACUGACGCUGAGGCGCGAAAGCGUGGGGAGCAAACAGGAUUAGAUACCCUGGUAGUCCACGCCGUAAACGAUGAGUGCUAAGUGUUAGAGGGUUUCCGCCCUUUAGUGCUGCAGCUAACGCAUUAAGCACUCCGCCUGGGGAGUACGGCCGCAAGGCUGAAACUCAAAGGAAUUGACGGGGGCCCGCACAAGCGGUGGAGCA